RNAcentral lists this unclassified non-coding RNA (249 nucleotides) under Lagenophora gracilis. Its description in RNAcentral is "partial ITS1". Lineage: Eukaryota; Viridiplantae; Streptophyta; Magnoliopsida; Asterales; Asteraceae. The record is from RNAcentral.
AAGCCUGCAAAGCAAAACGACCCGCGAACAUGUUAUUACAACCAUGCCAUGAUGGGUCGGGCGUCUGUUCGAUCCUCAUGGCACACCGWCGAUGUGCGUMUUUGAUGUCCCAUUGGGGCCUCUUGGUCGUUGCUUCGACGUAACAAAACCCCGGCACGGGAUGUGCCAAGGAAAACUGAAUUGAAGAAUGGCUCGUUCCAUGAUGUCCCGUUUGCGGUGUGCUCAUGGAGCGUGGCUUCUUUGUAAUCA